CGAAUGCUGACAUAAGUAACGAUAAAGCGGGUGAAAAGCCCGCUCGCCGGAAGACCAAGGGUUCCUGUCCAACGUUAAUCGGGGCAGGGUGAGUCGACCCCUAAGGCGAGGCCGAAAGGCGUAGUCGAUGGGAAACAGGUUAAUAUUCCUGUACUUGGUGUUACUGCGAAGGGGGGACGGAGAAGGCUAUGUUGGCCGGGCGACGGUUGUCCCGGUUUAAGCGUGUAGGCUGGUUUUCCAGGCAAAUCCGGAAAAUCAAGGCUGAGGCGUGAUGACGAGGCACUACGGUGCUGAAGCAACAAAUGCCCUGCUUCCAGGAAAAGCCUCUAAGCAUCAGGUAACAUUAAAUCGUACCCCAAACCGACACAGGUGGUCAGGUAGAGAAUACCAAGGCGCUUGAGAGAACUCGGGUGAAGGAACUAGGCAAAAUGGUGCCGUAACUUCGGGAGAAGGCACGCUGAUAUGUAGGUGAAGUCCCUCGCGGAUGGAGCUGAAAUCAGUCGAAGAUACCAGCUGGCUGCAACUGUUUAUUAAAAACACAGCACUGUGCAAACACGAAAGUGGACGUAUACGGUGUGACGCCUGCCCGGUGCCGGAAGGUUAAUUGAUGGGGUUAGCGGUAACGCGAAGCUCUUGAUCGAAGCCCCGGUAAACGGCGGCCGUAACUAUAACGGUCCUAAGGUAGCGAAAUUCCUUGUCGGGUAAGUUCCGACCUGCACGAAUGGCGUAAUGAUGGCCAGGCUGUCUCCACCCGAGACUCAGUGAAAUUGAACUCGCUGUGAAGAUGCAGUGUACCCGCGGCAAGACGGAAAGACCCCGUGAACCUUUACUAUAGCUUGACACUGAACAUUGAGCCUUGAUGUGUAGGAUAGGUGGGAGGCUUUGAAGUGUGGACGCCAGUCUGCAUGGAGCCGACCUUGAAAUACCACCCUUUAAUGUUUGAUGUUCUAACGUUGACCCGUAAUCCGGGUUGCGGACAGUGUCUGGUGGGUAGUUUGACUGGGGCGGUCUCCUCCUAAAGAGUAACGGAGGAGCACGAAGGUUGGCUAAUCCUGGUCGGACAUCAGGAGGUUAGUGCAAUGGCAUAAGCCAGCUUGACUGCGAGCGUGACGGCGCGAGCAGGUGCGAAAGCAGGUCAUAGUGAUCCGGUGGUUCUGAAUGGAAGGGCCAUCGCUCAACGGAUAAAAGGUACUCCGGGGAUAACAGGCUGAUACCGCCCAAGAGUUCAUAUCGACGGCGGUGUUUGGCACCUCGAUGUCGGCUCAUCACAUCCUGGGGCUGAAGUAGGUCCCAAGGGUAUGGCUGUUCGCCAUUUAAAGUGGUACGCGAGCUGGGUUUAGAACGUCGUGAGACAGUUCGGUCCCUAUCUGCCGUGGGCGCUGGAGAACUGAGGGGGGCUGCUCCUAGUACGAGAGGACCGGAGUGGACGCAUCACUGGUGUUCGGGUUGUCAUGCCAAUGGCACUGCCCGGUAGCUAAAUGCGGAAGAGAUAAGUGCUGAAAGCAUCUAAGCACGAAACUUGCCCCGAGAUGAGUUCUCCCUGACUCCUUGAGAGUCCUGAAGGAACGUUGAAGACGACGACGUUGAUAGGCCGGGUGUGUAAGCGCAGCGAUGCGUUGAGCUAACCGGUACUAAUGAACCGUGAGG
This 1647-nucleotide ribosomal RNA is filed under the name Escherichia coli. RNAcentral describes it as "partial 23S ribosomal RNA". It matches the Rfam family "Bacterial large subunit ribosomal RNA", at positions 1291 to 2915 of the family's 2925-position model. Lineage: Bacteria; Pseudomonadati; Pseudomonadota; Gammaproteobacteria; Enterobacterales; Enterobacteriaceae. The record is from RNAcentral.